GACGAACGCUGGCGGCGUGCUUAACACAUGCAAGUCGAACGGUGACGAGGAGCUUGCUCCUCUGAUCAGUGGCGAACGGGUGAGUAACACGUGAGCAACCUGCCCCAGACUCUGGGAUAACAGUUGGAAACAGCUGCUAAUACCGGAUACGAGACGGAGAGGCAUCUCUACCGUCUGGAAAGUUUUUCGGUCUGGGAUGGACUCGCGGCCUAUCAGCUAGUUGGUGAGGUAAUGGCUCACCAAGGCGACGACGGGUAGCCGGCCUGAGAGGGCGACCGGCCACACUGGGACUGAGACACGGCCCAGACUCCUACGGGAGGCCAGCAGUGGGAAUAUUGCACAAUGGGCGAAAGCCUGAUGCAGCGACGCCGCGUGAGGGAUGAAGGCCUU
RNAcentral lists this ribosomal RNA (390 nucleotides) under uncultured bacterium. RNAcentral describes it as "bacterial SSU rRNA". It matches the Rfam family "Bacterial small subunit ribosomal RNA", at positions 28 to 418 of the family's 1533-position model. The record is from RNAcentral.